AGUGAACGCUGGCGGUAGGCCUAACACAUGCAAGUCGAACGGCAGCACAGUAAGAGCUUGCUCUUACGGGUGGCGAGUGGCGGACGGGUGAGGAAUACAUCGGAAUCUACUUUUUCGUGGGGGAUAACGUAGGGAAACUUACGCUAAUACCGCAUACGACCUACGGGUGAAAGCAGGGGAUCUUCGGACCUUGCGCGAUUGAAUGAGCCGAUGUCGGAUUAGCUAGUUGGCGGGGUAAAGGCCCACCAAGGCGACGAUGCGUAGCUGGUCUGAGAGGAUGAUCAGCCACACUGGAACUGAGACACGGUCCAGACUCCUACGGGAGGCAGCAGUGGGGAAUAUUGGACAAUGGGCGCAAGCCUGAUCCAGCCAUACCGCGUGGGUGAAGAAGGCCUUCGGGUUGUAAAGCCCUUUUGUUGGGAAAGAAAAGCAGCAGGUUAAUACCCCGCUGUUCUGACGGUACCCAAAGAAUAGGCACCGGCUAACUUCGUG
RNAcentral lists this ribosomal RNA (492 nucleotides) under uncultured bacterium. RNAcentral describes it as "partial 16S ribosomal RNA". It matches the Rfam family "Bacterial small subunit ribosomal RNA", at positions 29 to 507 of the family's 1533-position model. The record is from RNAcentral.